GGGGAAUAUUGGACAAUGGACGAAAGUCUGAUCCAGCGACGCCGCGUGGAGGAAGAAGUCCUUCGGGAUGUAAACUCAUGAAGCUAACGAAUAAGACGGAAGGGGAACCUUCCGGGAGAAGGUAAUUAGUGAAAAGCCCCGGCUAACUACGUGCCAGCAGCCGCGGUAAUACGUAGGGGGCGAGCGUUGCCCGGAAUUACUGGGCGUAAAGGGAACGUAGGUGGCUCUUAAAGUCAGGUGUGAAAAUAACGAAGCUUAACAGGUUAAUGCGCUUGAAACUAAAGGGCUUGAGGGCAAUAGAGGGAGAUGGAAUUACCUGUGUAGGGGUGAAAUCCGCAGAUAUUAGGAGGAAUACCAGUGGCGAAGGCGACUCUCUGGACUGUAACUGACGCUGAGGCACGAAAGCGUGGGGAGCAAACC
Molecule: ribosomal RNA, 420 nt
Filed under: uncultured bacterium
Lineage: Bacteria
Description: bacterial SSU rRNA
Rfam family: Bacterial small subunit ribosomal RNA
Source: RNAcentral